Molecule: long non-coding RNA, 1557 nt
Organism: Mauremys reevesii (Reeves's turtle)
Lineage: Eukaryota; Metazoa; Chordata; Testudines; Geoemydidae
Exons: 3
Source: RefSeq, a predicted model, not a curated record
AUGCAUGCUGCUAGCUCCUGCAGAGAGAGGGCCUGUGAGUCAGGAUCCCGGGAGUCAGCCCUGCCGAGGCACCACCAGAGACACUGACGGAGGAUGACCUAGGGGAGGAACAGACCGGAGGGCCCCUCACCACAGAAGCACUGCCAUUCCUGGAUGGAAGAUACACAUCCCAUUGACAAACCAAACAGGCUGUCACAUCAUGAGGAUCUUUUCUUCAGUGCAAGAUGAUUGAGGUUCCUCGCUCACCCAAGACUCUGACAAGGAAAAACAGCCUCUAGAGGCUCUUUGACCCCCACGCAUGAUGAGAUUGGCUGUCCUUUUGCAGCAUCUGACUGCAAAGAACCAUAGGCUCCAUGAUGUCUGAUCAGCCCCCUCCCUUUGUGAAAAGAGAACAUGGAAUUCACACAGGAUUUGGAUUGGGGGGGGUAAGGAGGAGUAAAGAGAUGAGCCAAACAGCAGGCUCUAGGAGGUAGCCCAAGAAAAGUGGUAGAUGUCUGGACCUAACCUAGGUUUCUCUAGAGAGAGGGGAGCAGAUGCCCUUGUGCAUAGAGUGAGAAAGAGGAUCAGUAACCUUCAUGAGAAAAGGAAAACAACUAGUCUGGCUACAGAAAGAGUGGCAGAAGCACAGACCAGUGAGAAGGAACCCUGCUUACCGAGCCAUUUCCCAGCAAGUGUAGAAAGGAGCCAGAGCCUGAGACCCUUAGAGCUUGGCUACCAAGAGCCAGCUGUUACCCUGCAAAAAGAUAGGGACUUCAAAGCAUCUGAGACCUUCAGAGGACUAUACCUGUCCUGGGCUGAAGAGAACAGUUAUCAGGGGACUGUCCCUACUACAAUAACAAGUUAUUUUAAAAAAAAUUCUAGUCCCCCACCACCAAGAAAAAAAAAAGCUGUCUAUGCUCUUGGCUGUUGGCGUUGAAAACUCCAUAUGCUUUUGCAAAGCAAGUUUGUUUAACUCUGUUCAUUACAUUUUUGAAGAAAAGGUCUCAAGAAUUACCCCAUAUUUCACUACCACCACACUCAAAGUCUACAGGCUAGAUCUAUGGCCAGGUGGCACAAAGGGGCUUUAAAACUGCCUUAAAUGGGCAUACCUACCCAUGGCUGGAAUAAAGCUAGCACAGCCAGUUGUAUGCCACCCCCUCAAACUUUGCACUUCCCUUUCCACUGGGCAGCGAAGGGGGCAUGACCAGAGACCACUGCAUUAUGGUGACCCCUAACGUGCAUAAUUUAGAACAGCCCAGAUGCUGCCCAUCAAUUGCACACAAUGGAUGGGGUUCCAUCCCGAGUUUAUCAGGGCCAGUCUUGAGAUUUCUACAGAGGGGGGAAUCAUUAGUUGAAGCUUGUUAGGGGAAGUUAAACAGAGCAGAAUCAGUAAAUGCCUUCAUUCCAGGCAAAUCAGCAAGAGUCACAGCUCAUGAGUAAGGCUGCGAUUUUGUCACGGAGGUCACAGAAUCCAUGACUUCUAAAGACCUCCGUGAUUUCAGCCAGCGUUGGCUGGGAGCUGCUGGGUCCCCUGCCACCUACGGAGGCAGGGACCCCCGCAGCUCUCCAGCAGCCACC